This 535-nucleotide unclassified non-coding RNA is filed under the name Saccostrea sp. non-mordax lineage F. RNAcentral describes it as "ITS1 type: IRS03_2". The record is from RNAcentral. Lineage: Eukaryota; Metazoa; Mollusca; Bivalvia; Ostreida; Ostreidae.
ACAAACAAAAAUGGCUUGACAAACCAUUUGGCAAAAAAGCAAACCAUCUCAUGGUCGAGGUGUAACGGUGUCCAAACCCCGUGACCAGGUCGCGAGGUUGGGGUGCGGAGAGACAACGCUUUCUCUUUCGGUCGGGUCCUCGUUGGCAGAGGCGCACCGAGAGAGCCUUGGGCCGUCGCAGCCGUACAGGCUCCGUCGCCUUAAAUUCUCUCUUGGUCGUGUCCUCGUUGGCAGAGGCGCACCGAGAGAGCCUUGGGCCGUCGCAGCCGAACAAGCUGCGUCGCCUUAAAUUCAGACGAGCUCGACCGCGACCCGGGCUUUGACGGGGAAGGUCGCAUAACACCGCUCGGCAUCGUCGGUCAUUGUUCCGAUGUUGUAAGCGCCCGAGUAUGUACUUCUCACGUAUACGAAAUCCUUAUUUUGACGAGGAAGGGGUCGGGAGCAGGCAAAGUCCCUCGGCUUUUCUUUCCUCGGUCGCGUCAGGCGUACCUCGUUGCGCGCCUCGACCGGCCGAAUCACUUUUGGCAUCUAUUGA